UGCCCAGCAACUCCUAUCCCCACCUCCUCACGGUACUGGCCGGGGUACGAGUAACCUGAGGGAAGAUCGGGUAACAAACCCCGUUGGGAGCUUUGGUCGUAUGCUGACAAAAAAGG
This 116-nucleotide ribozyme is filed under the name Aedes aegypti (yellow fever mosquito). RNAcentral describes it as "drz-agam-1 ribozyme". It matches the Rfam family "drz-agam-1 ribozyme". The record is from Rfam by way of RNAcentral. Lineage: Eukaryota; Metazoa; Arthropoda; Insecta; Diptera; Culicidae.